CGGCAACAGCUCAAAUUUGAAAUCUGGCCUCUUUCGGGGUCCGAGUUGUAAUUUGUAGAGGAUGUUUUGGGUACCGCGCUGGUUUAAAUUUCUUGGAACAGAAUGUCAGAGAGGGUGAGAGCCCCGUCU
Molecule: ribosomal RNA, 129 nt
Filed under: Herpotrichiellaceae sp.
Lineage: Eukaryota; Fungi; Ascomycota; Eurotiomycetes; Chaetothyriales; Herpotrichiellaceae
Description: partial large subunit ribosomal RNA
Rfam family: Eukaryotic large subunit ribosomal RNA
Source: RNAcentral